Molecule: ribosomal RNA, 301 nt
Filed under: uncultured bacterium
Lineage: Bacteria
Description: partial 16S ribosomal RNA
Rfam family: Bacterial small subunit ribosomal RNA
Source: RNAcentral
CAGUAGCCGCGGGAAAACGUAGGUGGCAAGCGUUGUCCGGAAUUAUUGGGCGUAAAGCGCGCGCAGGCGGAUCAGUCAGUCUGUCUUAAAAGUUCGGGGCUUAACCCCGUGGGGGGAUGAAAACUGCUGAUCUAGAGUAUCGGAGAGGAAAGUGGAAUUCCUAGUGUAGCGGUGAAAUGCGUAGAUAUAUGGAGGAACACCGGUGGCGAAAGCGGCUCUCUGGUCUGUAACUGACGCUGAGGCUCGAAAGCGUGGGGAGCAAACAGGAUUAGAUACCGCGUAGUCCCUGUCUCUUAUACAC